UUUUGGAAAAUAGUUAAAUCCUCUCCAUUUGCUUAGCAGGAAAAACACUAAUUUACUGUCAAUUGGGAGUUUGUUAAUCUUAUCCCAGGACAAGGCAGUGUUCACAACGAUGAUUUGACAGAAGUCAUUAUUUCUCUACCUUUGAUUCAUGAGGGAAAGUUGUCAGACUCUGGUGUAGUGUAAGUUGGUCCUGGUACAAAAGACUGGUGGUUGGAUUAACUGUGGUAAAAAGUAUUUUAACCAUUUUGAUGUCGGACCUUGAACUACCUGAAGACAAAGGAAACUGCAGUUACAUGUGAGCCACGCCAUGAGAAAACAAACAUAGCGCGUUUGCACCCAGCAUGGAUCCAGACCAGCUUGCGCAUCUGCGCAGUCUGGUCAGGAUCCAUGCUGUUCGCUUUCAAAGCCUAUUGCAAUUGGAGAAACCGUUAGCGAACAGCAUGGAUCUUGACCAGACUGUGCGGAUGCGCAGGCUGGUCUGGAUCCAUGCUGGUCGCAAAAGCACUAUGUUGGUUUUCUCAUGGUGCGCCUUAUGUUAGGUGGUGCACCUGUAAUAACAAUUUGCAGUUUCUGUGCAGUUAUAUAUUCUUGUAUCACAUACAGGUAAUUCUGCCAUAAGCGAAAAUAUUUUUUUUAUUACAUCCAGAGAAUGCCAAAAUCAUGUACUAUAAUGGAAUACGUAAAUGAACAGAAAGUGCCGAUUGUCAUUAUGCAUCCACUACCUUAAUUCUUCUUUUUACCUACAUCUAAAAUCGCUGGUUACGGGUUUGUAGUAGUAAUAAAUAGUCCAUCUGUCUCUUCAUACUGCCUCACACCCCUCACAAGUAUUAUGGGCAGGGUUACGUCGGCUGUUAGAUUAAUAGUAUGAAAAGUGCUGGUCUUUUACCGACAAAAUGAGAAUAUGAAAAGUGACAGUGUUGUUAUAGAAGACUUAACAGUAGAAUUAAAGUAGUAUAGUAGUAUUAAAGUGUCAAGAUUUGUUCUCAUCUCUUGCUAUGUCAUAAUCCUAGUCAGUGUUUAUGUACCUAUAUAUAGUUGUCUAGGUGUACAUAAUUAUGAGAGAAGAUUUGAAGCUUGUUUGUUGAAUGGUUAUAGGUCAAUUACAGUUAUGUGAAUGCUUUAUCACUUCCCAUGUAAUAAGACACCUGUUCAUUUACUAAUUUUUAAAAACUAUGUUUCAGUGUUAAACAUUUUUAUGAGUUGGAAGCUCUGUAUAGUUUUUUCAUUUGUUGUCAAGUUUUUGGUUGCCUUAAGAGAAUUUAUAUAUAGCCUCACUUCAAGAGUUCUGUUUGGUACGAUAGAAUGUUUAGGGCUGUCUUAUAAUCAAGACUUCAUAUCAUUUUUUGCAUUGUAAUUAUUUUUCAUUUGUCAUUUUAAUACAUGUUUUGGUAUAAAUUAUGAAUGCUUAAUUUCUCAGGCCUUGCAUUGUUGUGUCUGUAACCAUGGAUACUGUAGAGAUACUGGAGAAAUAAACUUGCUAGCAAUGAUGUACUGAAAGCAUUGUUGGUAUUACAGUGCAGUUAGCGCUAGUCAUUAUUGCACCUCUUUAUUACGUCGCCAUUACAUGUACAUAAAAUUUAGUACAUAAUUACAUUUAUAUUGCUCAAUUAAAAGUGAAAACUGAUACGUUUUAUUUAGAAAGCAAAAUUGUAAUAAAACAGCUUACAGCUUUUAUUGAUUGAGAAAACCUAUUUUAUUUAAUCUAGUUGAAGUAAGGAUUUAAUUAUCUCAGAUAUCUUACUGGAUUGGAUUGUGGCCUUAAAGCUACAUGCCCAUAGUUAAUGUAAAAUGUUUCAGCAUGUUCAUUUCCAUUAAGUUUGGAGUAGAAUGUAUAUAUGACACUAAAAAAAUGAUAAAUUAUGUGAGAAUUAGUGUGAAAUAUAGGCAAGAAUAGUAAGAAGAAUGUUGAUCUUCUUUAUCUGUCAAAAAGUAUUACAAUGGUUUACUCUUUUUCUUCACAAUAUUUUUGGUAAUUUUAUCAAGCUGUCUUGUAAAUCUCGUAUAUCAAUAAGAGUUUAUCACUUUUCACUUUCGCAGCACCUGCAUUUCAUCGAUUUUUGAGAGAAAACACUUUUUGCCAAAGCUAUGUUAGUCAGUUGCUUUAAUUAAGGUAGUUCUGCACGUUUGAACCAGAGGUGAUUGCGUAACAUAUAUUUAUCUGGAAAAACACAGAAUAAAGCCUGGAUUCGGCAUAUGGAAAUGAAAAUUAUUUUAUGAACUGAUGGCAACCUUUGAGUAAAUUCAUUACAAUGGCACUGUUACUAUCUUUCUAAAGUUGAAAUAUGAUAUUAAAAAUCUGACACUUUAAAUAAUUUAAAAUAAUGUCUUAUAAUUAUCUUAAAAUGUACGGUUCACUUUAGAUAAAGUCAGAUAUCUCAAAUAUAAGCACGGACCUGUACAUUUAAUUCACCACAUUAUAGACAAUAUGUUUAUUUACGACUGUGAGAAGCUUCAUUAAAAUCUACAUUGUAGAAAAAUUUGCUGAAUUUAUAUUCAUAUUUUGAAGUUUUGAAAAAUCGGGGUUUAAUCAAAUUCUACAUUGUAGAAAAAAAUGUUGAUUCGAACUACCUUAAAGAAGCCUAACUAUUUUCCCACCUUGUCCAGAAACAGUUUUUGACAGACUCAAGCAGCUUGUGAACACUUGAAAGUAUCCACUUUAUCUAUAAGAUGUUGACAAACUCUAGAAAUUUUUGUUAAGUAUUAAAAUGGAUGAAAAAUUCUUUUCCCAUUGAUUUAGCUUUGAAAAUAAAGGUAGAUAGGCAAGGUCUGAGCAAAAUUCAGCAUACAUUGUUACAUUUACUUCAUUUUCAUAUACGUCAUUUUAUGUAUUGUUUUGUGAUGAAAGGCCAGUUUUACUAUAUUGAUUUGAGAGUUUUCAUAUGAUCUGAUUGAAAUACAGAUAGUUUAAAUAUGUUGUUCAGUGAGCGUGUACUAGACAAAUAUACUAUAAUUGAUCUUGUUAUUUUGCUUAUUGGAUAAUAUUCAGUAACUGAAUGAUUUGGUUAUUCCAUUAGAAUGAUACUCUGAAAUAUUUGUAGGGGGCUGAUUUUCAUAGAUAACGUAAUUGAGUUAAUCUUCGAAAUAUACUCACAAUGAACAAGUAAAUUCCUAUUCAGUUUUUGUCCAAAAGUUGAAAUCCAGGAAUUCAUUCACCUGUGAAAUUGCCAUUUUCAACAGAACUAUGAAAUUUAAUGCUCUCAAAAUGAAAUGCUUUUAUGGUAUCAAUGUCCUUUGUGUUGUGGACAGGAAAAAGUUGCUUAUUCAGUGAGAGAAUGAAAAGAGAUAGGUCAUAAAAAGUACAAUAUGUUUUAAUGCUCUUGCAAGAACAAAGAUGACAUACAAAAAUACAUAUGUGUGAUAUUAUAUUAUCACCUUGUUGUGAAAAAAACCUUUUUGAAAUAAACACUCCAAUGACAUGAGUAGUUAAGUUAGAAAGAGGGAUGGAGAUCAUCCUUGGUAACCCCUUACUUGUGCUAUUUAUAGAUUUAAAAUCUGUGCUAAUAAUAUUGCUGUUACCAUGAUUGUAGUAUCUACAUACAUGUACUGUGACAUCACUUAAUUUGGUCAGCAGAAAAUUUCAUGGUUUUGGAAAAAAGAGCUGUUUUGUUUGGAUUUCCACCUCUUGAGAUAUAAUAAUUGGAAAUUUAAGGUUUGUUUCUAUUGAAUGUUGUGGAUUAGUGCAAACGCAAAAUCCAUGAAAAUAAUUCCCCCAUUGAUAUCAAUGGUUUAAUAGUAUAUUAUUAGUGGAUGAUGUAAAUUACUAUGUCCAUGCAGGCUGAUCAUGGUCUGCAAUGUUCACUAUUCAGUCAGUAAAUUUUAAGUGAACACCUUUUGAAUGAUAAGUGGUACUGACCAAGUUGAAUGAUGGACCAUUCCAUUUUAGAAAUUUAGCUGGGUAAAGGUUAAAAAUGCUAAAUAAUGCAAUUCUUUUUUUUUUCUGCAGGAAAAGUUAACUGAUGACUCAGUUUUGAAAAUACUUUUUGAAAAAAUAAAAUAGUGAAAUCGUAGCUGUCUUUAUGGAAAAUUGGGCAAAUAGUUUAUAAUAUAAUGCUGACGUUGUUAAUAUUCUGUGCAGUACCAAUUUACCCCAUUGUUGUAUCACUUACCUUUGUUUGUGGGAUGUAUGAAAGAAGAUAUUGGCAGUGCACUUUAAAAUUGAAUGUUAAAAACACCACUGUCGGUAUUUUACUUCAGACAUAAACAGUUAACUUGGACACCUUGAGCAAUUUAACCACCAAAUUUGUCAUACAAGAUCUUAUAUUUUACUUUCCAUUUGAUGUUUAAGUAGAAUAUAAUUACAUGUGAAAAUUGUUUAAUAGGUUUUUGUUGCUGAAUUGAUAAAACAUAUGUAUUGAAUGAUUGCCUGUGUGUACCAUUUAUCAUUAUUGUAAGUUUACAUCAGCAAGUUUUUAUCAAUCACCAGAUGCUGUUUGCUGGUUCUGAAGGUCACUGAGUACUUUCAUCAGUCUAGAAUCUGGUUGAACCUCUAUUUGGCUGCCCAAAAGAAUAGAUUUUAGUCUUGUAACCAGACUGUUCAAAUUAUCUCAAAGUUUUUUGUUUAAGACAAGUACCUGCUCAGUAAAGCUGAAAUUAAAAUUAACUCAGUCAGCACUUGAUGUUAACUAAGGUGUUUCUUUGAAAUAACUGCAUAAACUAUUUUCUUAUUUGAAGCUUGUGAAAAUUGAAAUUGCCGAGAGCGAGAGCUAAUAUAAGCUUUGGUUGAAGUGAAUUCUCAUGUAGCUUUGUCACUGACUAAAGGGAAGUAACCCAAGGGCAUUAGAUAAUAUACUCAUAUUGUGCAUCACUCAUUAUCUCCCCUGUAUAUGAAAUUUAGCUACUAUUUCAGUUAGAGGUUUUUUUUGUAGAAUUGUUUGAGAUAACUCGGACUGCAUUAUGCUUGAUUCAUACUUAACAUUAGUCAGAAUUGUAGCCUUGUCACCUUGUUUUAUGCUUAUUUCAAAUAGUUCUUUAUUUACUCAGUGUAAUUUAUGUUUAAAGCAAUAUAAUACUGUGAGAGUUUUAAUUGCCUGGAUUUGGUGCUCUUUGUGUGAGCAUUAUUUUAUGCUGACUAUAAAUCCUUAAAUAACAAUAACAUGGUGUCAAAUAUUUUUAUAAAGCACUUAGUGCAGUUUUGUUAAAGCACUCUAAAUGGGAGUAAGGUACUGAAUUUUAAUUAAAUUCAGGUGAUUAUUUUUUAAAGAGAAGCACAAUAAAAUCACUUUUUAUGUUGGGUUAAUCAAUUAUGAAACUUAUUAUGAAUGAAACCUGAUACUUGGCUUAGUUUUACUUGUAUAAGAUACCAUUGGCAAACUGAUACCGGUGUGCUCAUUGGUUUCAAAUUUUAUUUUUGCUUAAAUACUGAAAACAAGGUUGACAAUGCCUUAUUAAGUAUUAAUGAAAGGGCAACUGAUCAGAUGUUGGUGCAUCAUGGGUAAUCUGGUGUUACAAUGGUGCAUCAUGGGUAAUCUUAUGUUAAAAGUAAUCUGAUGUUGUGUUGGUGCAUCAUGGGUACUGUGGUGUUACAAUGGUGCAUCAUGGGUAAUCUGGUGUUCUGUUGGUGCAUCAUGGGUAGUCUGGUGUUACAAUGGUGUAAGAUAUGAUAUCAUGGAUUACAAUAGAAUAUAAUCAUAUUAUGUACAUGUUACUGUAAAACUGCAUUAGGCGACAUCAUAGUUGUAGUAAUGGAAAAAUUUAAACUGAUUUUUAAAAAAGUCAAAAUAAAUCAACUCUCUGACAUUUUUGUGUACCAUUCAUUUAAAGCAUCUAACAAAUUAAACUCACAAUUUACAUUGUUAAAAUGUUUGGAACAUUUAUCUGUUUAAAAAUUUUGAAUAUUUAUGACCAGUAUCAGUUUAUCUUUUAAGUGAAAUUCCAUUUCAGGUGUUGUACACUAAGAUGUAUAAUAAGACAUCUGCAUCUAUAUAAUUUAGUUGGUCACAUGCACACCUUUCAAUGAGUGUAAUGUUGUUGCUUUAAUAUAGAUUUUUAUCAGCAUUUUAUUUCAUCUUCAGCAUUUUCUUUGUCAUAUUUUUGUCUGUUUGUGUGAAGUUUAUAUUAACCUUUAGCCUGCUGUUGGCAAGUGAUUUUGCCUUUGUGACCAGUGCACGUCAGUACAGGCUGAUCAUGGUCUGUACUGUUUGCUAUUCAGUCAGUAAAUUUUUAGUGAACACCCCAUGGUCCAGUCCAUUUUAGAAAUUUAGAAGGGUACAGGUUAAACAUGAGGUCUGUUCAUCUCCAGUAAAACUGUUACACUCUGUCAAAACAGAUA
Long non-coding RNA from Mercenaria mercenaria, 6268 nucleotides. RefSeq lists it as uncharacterized. Lineage: Eukaryota; Metazoa; Mollusca; Bivalvia; Venerida; Veneridae. The transcript is spliced from 2 exons. The record is from RefSeq and is a predicted model, not a curated record.